CCUCCAGUCAGAAUUCAAGGAAUCCAAAAUCGAUUAAGCUCGACGUAAUCGAACGAGAUAUCGUCUCGAGAUCGAAUAACAGGGGGUGAAGAAGAAGAAGAAGAAGAAGAAGAAGAAGAGGAAGGAGGAGGAUUUCGCGAAGGAACAAGGAUCCCUCGGUGGAAAAUCAUCGUCGAUAUUCGCUCGGGCGAUAAAGACGGCGAUCAAAUACCACCGAGUGUUCACCAAUGAACGUAGCGUACGGUGGUUGCAGACGAGGACAAAACCGUGGAACACGCACGAGGAACAGACAGUGCUGCGUUUUGGCGACCGGGGUCCUCCAGAUUCCCGGAUUCUCACCACCGACACCACCUGACUUCAUCACCUCUCGAGAGACCGACGUAGAUCUUCACAACGUAAUCGUUAAUCAUGGGGCUCGACUUCUUGGCAGACGGAGGUGCCGAUUUCGAGCAUGCAAUCACCGUAACAGGAUUCGGCAAAUUUCAUUAUAUGCUGUUGACGAUCUGCGGAUUAAUUUACAUGGAUACAGCCAUCGGGGUCACGAUACUCUCCUUCGUGUUACCGGCAGCGCAAUGCGACUUGGAAAUGGAUUCCACCGCGAAAGGGUGGUUAACAGCAUCGCCAAUGUUGGGAAUGGUAGUUGGUUCCUAUAUAUGGGGAUGCCUGGCUGAUAUCAAAGGAAGAAAAAUCGUAUUAAUCGCCACUUUAUUAAUGGACGGCAUUGUAGGUGUCGUUUCCUCUUUUGUCCAAUAUUUUUGGAUUUUUCUAGUGUUCCGUUUCUUUAAUGGGUUCGCCGUUACGGGAGCUAUGGGAAUUUGUUUUCCGUAUUUAGGGGAAUUUCAGCCGACAAAAUAUCGUGAAAAAUGUCUUUGUUGGAUGGAAAUGUUCUGGACAGUAGGUGUCAUACUAUUACCACUGAUCGCAUGGCUGAUCAUACCGAUGAACUUCAUGUACCUUACGGACACGUUUUACUUUAAGUCAUGGAAUCUCUUCGUAGCGCUGUGCGCUCUACCCUCGUUGAUGUUAGGCCUGUGGCUGUUCGCAUUCCCGGAGAGCCCGAAAUUUCUUCUCGAAUGUGGCGAAACCGACGCAGCACUCGAAGUAUUUAAAUGGAUCUAUUCGCAGAACACUGGGGAGGAUCCUGACUCUUAUCCGGUAAAGUCGUUGCAAGAGAAAAACAAAGACAAGAGCAUGAGAUCGUUAAAACUACACAAAAGAAAGGAUUUAAAGGUUCUCUUGAAAGAAGUAAAAGAUCUAACAACUGCUCUCUGUAAGAAACCGUAUCUUAAAAAUACGCUACUCGCUUGUGGCAUUCAGUUUGGCCUCACCAGUAGUUACUAUACCCUUAUGGUUUGGUUCCCAGAAUUAUUCACUAGAUUCGAACAAUUUGAACACGAAAAUCCCAAUAAAACCACAUCGGUUUGCAUAGUAUCUGCUCUGUCCAAUAAUGGAACUCAAAUCGACACUUAUGGAUGUGAUACCAUAAUAGCGCCUUCCGUUUAUCUUCACACGGUUUACAUAGGACUCGCCUGUAUUCCUGGUUCCAUCAUUUUACCGAUUUUCGUACACAAACUUGGCGCUAAAUUCUUUUUGAUUAUGUCACUGUUAGUUUCCGGAGCGGUUACGAUUGCCUUCUAUUAUGUCGUUAAUUCGACACAAAAUUUAAUAUUAUCCUGCGUGUUCGAGGCUCUGACGUCUCUCGGUAUCUCACUGGUUUAUUGCGUAAUCGUCGACAUGUUCCCGACGAAUCUCAGAAAACAAAUUAUUUAAUUUUUAGAGUAAUGGCUGCGGCUUUAUCUCUCACCAUGGGUCGAUUAGGCGCAUUAGUCGGUAAUUUAGUGUUCGGCUACCUAAUUGAUUUAGCCUGUGUGAUUCCUAUAAUUUUAUUCGCAGCAUUUUUAUUCGUAUGUGGAUUUAUGUCUUUCUUGUUGCC
This 1933-nucleotide unclassified non-coding RNA is filed under the name Apis florea (little honeybee). RNAcentral describes it as "synaptic vesicle glycoprotein 2B, transcript variant X1". The record is from RNAcentral. Lineage: Eukaryota; Metazoa; Arthropoda; Insecta; Hymenoptera; Apidae.